RNAcentral lists this ribosomal RNA (309 nucleotides) under Triticum aestivum (bread wheat). RNAcentral's name for it is "partial small subunit ribosomal RNA". Lineage: Eukaryota; Viridiplantae; Streptophyta; Magnoliopsida; Poales; Poaceae. The record is from RNAcentral.
AUGCAUGCAGCAUGCAAACACCCAGCUUUGUGGGAUCAUUUACAGGAGAGUUUGAAGACCGUGAUAGCUAAGAGCCAUGAGUAUGAUCAGCUAAAGGAAAAUUUGAGUAAGAAAAUGGCUGAUCUUAGUACUUGUGCAAUUGAAUAUGUAGACGAUGGUGAAGGCAACAUAGUUGAAGUUCAAGAUCCAAUUAAAGUAUCAACGAAAGGUGCAACUAAGGUAGAUGAGAACCGCCCUAUGUCGAAAAAUGGUAGGCCACUUUCGUACGACGAGAUCAGAAUCAGAAGCGUGGUGGGCGAAGAAGAGUAG